CCGCUUAUUGGCCGAUGACGGGAAGAUGGAAGCCCGGAGGCCCCGCCCCGCAGUAGUCGUCAACAAAGCGUUUGUAUUUCGAUGGCAGACUCUCUCACACAGUCUGUGGAGAAGACAUAUGACAAUAAAACACUCUUGACUCUUUUACAUUGGCACGUUCAGAAAGCUAAAAGUGGACAAGUCCAUCUGAUCUGUAGGAUUCAAUGUUUGAUUUCAUAACUCAUCUCAGCCUGGAAAAGAUAAUGUUGUUCAGGAAAAAUGGCCAAAUAGACCACUGUCUAUUCUGACUAUGCAGGAAUAUAUCCAGGCACCCACCACUCUAUGUACAAAAACUUGUCCUAUACAUCCCCAU
This is a long non-coding RNA of Leucoraja erinaceus (little skate), 352 nucleotides long. RefSeq lists it as uncharacterized. Lineage: Eukaryota; Metazoa; Chordata; Chondrichthyes; Rajiformes; Rajidae. The transcript is spliced from 3 exons. The record is from RefSeq and is a predicted model, not a curated record.